This is a long non-coding RNA of Pollicipes pollicipes, 955 nucleotides long. RefSeq lists it as uncharacterized. The record is from RefSeq and is a predicted model, not a curated record. The transcript has 3 exons. NCBI's taxonomy places the organism in Eukaryota, Metazoa, Arthropoda, Thecostraca, Pollicipedomorpha, Pollicipedidae.
UGGUUGUGGGCGUUUUUGGUGACCUUUGACCUGGCUGAAGGCCACCAUCUUCUGAAAACACCGGGAUGUCAGCUAUGGCGCAUCGAUCGGUGAGGGUGUCAUGGGGGACGGUGUGAUAGGCUCGGGAUAUGGGAUUGUCUGCGAACUAUUUCAGGUGGCUUUGGGCGUUUUUAGUGGCCUUUGAGCUAACGUAAGGUCAUGAUGUCCUGGAAAGGGUAGCGUGUUGACUAAUACACAUCGGUUGGGGGAGGUUUCUUGCUUACGCGGCCCUACAGCAUCGGAGCAUGGGGUUGUCGAAGUACCUAUUUUUCGGUUUUUCGUAUUUUUGGUGAUGUUUGACCUGACUCAAAGUCAUCAUAUUUUGAAACGGUUACGUUAUCGACUAAUCGGCAUCGAAUGGGUAAGGUUUCAUGUCGGUCGGUGCCAUGGGGUUGGAGUAUCGGGCUGUCAGCGGGUCUGGUUGACUGUUUAGUGCUCCCCUCCGGGCUCUUGCCUCGUGGAAUCAGCGAAUGAAAGCCGCGCAGGUUGACAAGGAGAAAGCGCUGGCUGCUGAUAAACAAAAAUACACAUUGGUUGCGAGGGACUGGGUUUGAUAAACCUGCGCGGUCUUGCACAGACUAGAUUUGCACGGGUCUUCGCACAUGCGCCUGGCCUGACACCAGCCCAGGGUGAAGGAUCCACAGAGGAAAACUGAUGGCAACAGGAGGGGAAGAUCCUGCAAAUGGGCAGGAAAGAUCCACAGCCUUCAAUUUCUCUGAGACUCCAACACUGGAAGACCUGCGAGCGAGCAUGAACCAGUUUGCCACUGAGCGUGAUUGGAACCAGUACCACACACCAAGGAAUCUGCUGCUGGCGAUGGUUGGCGAAGUCGGAGAGCUCUCGGAAAUAUUGUAAGUCAAACGUCGUGGGCCUCUUCCGAUGGCAGUAAUCCACCACUGGACGUCAAAGAUGUCAC